GAGUUUGAUCCUGGCUCAGGAUGAACGCUAGCGACAGGCCUAACACAUGCAAGUCGAGGGGCAGCACAAGGUAGCAAUACUGAGGUGGCGACCGGCGCACGGGUGAGUAACGCGUAUGCAACCUGCCUGUAAGAGCGGGAUAGCCUCUCGAAAGAGAGAUUAAUACCGCAUGGAACCAAGAGGUCUCAUGGUUUUUUGGUUAAAGAUUUAUCGCUUACAGAUGGGCAUGCGUAACAUUAGCUUGUUGGUGAGGUAACGGCUCACCAAGGCUGUGAUGUUUAGGGGUUCUGAGAGGAAGGUCCCCCACACUGGUACUGAGACACGGACCAGACUCCUACGGGAGGCAGCAGUGAGGAAUAUUGGUCAAUGGACGCAAGUCUGAACCAGCCAAGUCGCGUGAAGGAUGAAGGUCUUAUGGAUUGUAAACUUCUUUUAUACGGGAAUAAAAAGGGUUACGUGUAGCCCAUUGCAUGUACCGUAUGAAUAAGGAUCGGCUAACUCCGUGCCAGCAGCCGCGGUAAUACGGAGGAUCCGAGCGUUAUCCGGAUUUAUUGGGUUUAAAGGGUGCGCAGGCGGUCUUUUAAGUCAGCGUUGAAAGUUUUCGGCUCAACCGGAAAAUUGGCAUUGAAACUGGAGGACUUGAGUGCAAAUGAAGUAGGCGGAAUUCGUCGUGUAGCGGUGAAAUGCAUAGAUAUGACGAAGAACUCCGAUUGCGAAGGCAGCUUACUAACAUGCAACUGACGCUCAGGCACGAAAGCGUGGGGAUCAAACAGGAUUAGAUACCCUGGUAGUCCACGCAGUAAACGAUGAAUACUAACUGUUGGCGAUACACAGUCAGCGGUACAGCGAAAGCGUUAAGUAUUCCACCUGGGGAGUACGCCGGCAACGGUGAAACUCAAAGGAAUUGACGGGGGCCCGCACAAGCGGUGGAGCAUGUGGUUUAAUUCGAUGAUACGCGAGGAACCUUACCAGGGCUUAAAUGUAAGUUGCAUAAAUCAGAGAUGAUUUUUUCUUCGGACCACUUACAAGGUGCUGCAUGGUUGUCGUCAGCUCGUGCCGUGAGGUGUCAGGUUAAGUCCUAUAACGAGCGCAACCCCUGUCGUUAGUUGCCAGCGAGUCAUGUCGGGAACUCUAACGAGACUGCCGGUGCAAACCGAGAGGAAGGUGGGGAUGACGUCAAAUCAUCACGGCCCUUACGUCCUGGGCCACACACGUGCUACAAUGGCCGGUACAGAGAGCAGCCACUACGCGAGUAGGAGCGAAUCUAUAAAACCGGUCUCAGUUCGGAUCGCAGUCUGCAACUCGACUGCGUGAAGCUGGAAUCGCUAGUAAUCGGAUAUCAGCCAUGAUCCGGUGAAUACGUUCCCGGGCCUUGUACACACCGCCCGUCAAGCCAUGGAAGCUGGGAGUACCUGAAGUCGGUGACCGCAAGGAGCUGCCUAGGGUAAAACUAGUGACUGGGGCUAAGUCGUAACAAGGUAACCGUA
RNAcentral lists this ribosomal RNA (1487 nucleotides) under uncultured bacterium. RNAcentral describes it as "partial 16S ribosomal RNA". It matches the Rfam family "Bacterial small subunit ribosomal RNA". The record is from RNAcentral.